AACUCAUUUGGCUGAACUAAAUU
This 23-nucleotide non-coding RNA is filed under the name Arabidopsis thaliana (thale cress). The record is from RNAcentral. Lineage: Eukaryota; Viridiplantae; Streptophyta; Magnoliopsida; Brassicales; Brassicaceae.